CCUACGUGAGGCAGCAGUGAGGAAUAUUGGUCAAUGGGCGAGAGCCUGAACCAGCCAAGUCGCGUGAGGGAGUACUGCCCUAUGGGUUGUAAACCUCUUUUGUCGGGGAGCAAAAGCCGGACGUGUCCGGCUGUGAGAGUACCCGAAGAAAACGCAUCGGCUAACUCCGUGCCAGCAGGCGCGGUCAUACGGAACAUGCGAGCUUUAUCCGGAUUUAUUGGGUUUAAAGGGUGCGCAGGCGGAUGUUUAAGUCAGCGGUCAAAUCGUGGGGCUCAACCCCAUCCAGCCGUUGAAACUGGGGUUCUAGAGUGUGCGAGAGGUAGGCGGAAUGCGUGGUGUAGCGGUGACAUGCAU
This 354-nucleotide ribosomal RNA is filed under the name uncultured bacterium. RNAcentral describes it as "partial 16S ribosomal RNA". It matches the Rfam family "Bacterial small subunit ribosomal RNA", at positions 338 to 691 of the family's 1533-position model. The record is from RNAcentral.